GGAGACUUUCCUGAAAGGAAAACUUCAAGUUUCACUUAUAAAAUUGACUGGAAUAGGCAAGAGGGAAAAGCUAGCACAUGAAGGAAUCUCUUGUAUUUUUCUUUCAUGUGGAAUAUUUUCCUCUUCUGCCCCUCUUUCCAUGUCCCUGGGCCUGGGGAAAGGAUGGCUCCCUUGGACCAUAGAGAAAAAUGAUGUAGAAACUUCUUCCUUCAUUGCCUCCCCCAGCCCUUUGGCUUCUCCCCUGGCUGCGCCCAUUCUCCCUCCCCAACCCCUGGCCCAGGAGCCUGUCUUUCCUCCAAACUCAUCUGGAGCCGAGUCUCUCCCCUAGAGCUGCUCCUGAGUGAGAAGUGUGUCAUUCCUACCACAGGAGGGUGGAAGAGGAGAGAGAGAGGUCAGAGCCUGGGACUGUGGGAGAAGGUACAGCAGGAAUGAAGGAGGUUAGAUUCAGAAGGACUUAUAAAUGAGAGUGAGAUAUAAGUGAUCAGAGGGUGACUGAGGACAUUGCUGGCAUCUCCAUUUAGGAGGGAAGCAUUGGGUACAGGGGCAGAGAGCAUGGGCAGGAUCUGGAUGAGAUUGACCCCCACUCUCACCCCUGUCCUCUGACAAAACCCCAGGUCACACCAGGGGGCCCUUCAGGCCCAGGUGCUCCACCAGGUAGGUGUAUCUUAGCUCCUCUCCAGGGAGGAGCCCCACAGCUGCCCAGCCCUGGUGUGUCUUGUCCCCCUGCAGAUUGGGUCCCCCUGAGUCCUGAGUCCACAAUCAUCUCCUUCCUUUCCUGCAGCCAGGUCAGCAUAGUGUUGGCAGGUAAAGAGUCAAAUGCUCAGCCUCUCACAGUGUGAUGGUCCUCCUUGUCAGUCAUCACGACCUUGGAGGACACUGGUGAGAGACAGUAGAGAGAUGGAGUGAGGGUGGGCCCCACCUUCGCUUCCUCCCUCUUCUCCUAGUCUUCCUCCACAGCAGCGCCCCCUCCCUCCCCCAGCCCCAGGACUUCUGAAAGCCCAGGCAGGGAGGGGGGAAGCCCACUUCUGUGCCAGGAGUCUCUCCACAGUGUGCGCACUUCCACUCCCACUGCAGUGGUAGGGCCUGCUCCGUGCAGAGCCCCAGGUACUCGCAGAAGGCGAUGCAGGAAUGUUCUUCCUUCAAAUGUCUGCAUGGCUCAGUUCCUCACCUCCUGCACGUCUGCACAAGUGUCAUCUCAAUGAGGCCCGUCCUGACCGCAUCAUUUAAAAGCGCCACCUCUCACAUCACCUUUUAUUGAUUGUUGACUUUGCAUUAUUUUUUCUCUAUGUCUCCUAUCACUUUCUAACGUACUACGAAGGCUUCUUUUCCCAGGGAUGGCCUCAAGAAUAUCCCCCCUCCACAUGCUCUUUUGCAGUGUGACCUCGUCAUCUCCCGUCUAGAGGUGGGGCCUAAUUCCCCUACCCUUGGAUCUGUGACAAGCUUUGGUGACUAUAACAUGGGAAGAUGACACUGCUUGAUUUCUAGGUUCUGACAUAAGAUGCUUUGUGGUUUCUGACUUGUCCACAUGAUACACUCCCUCCUGGACCCCAGCUGCUGAGCUGGGAACAGCCAAGCCAUGUGGAGAAGCGGGUGGAGGAGAACCUAGGUCUCCCUGUUAACAGCCCCAGUGAGCUCCCAGUCAACAGCCAGCAUCACCUGCAGCCCCAUCAUGGAGCCCUCUUGAAUGUUCUGGAUCAACUGGGCCUCCAGAUGACUGCAGUCCUAACCCAUGUCACAUGGAGCAGAAGAGCUGCCCGACUCAGCCCUGUCAACCCACAGAAUGAGAGAGCAAAAAGCUUGUUGUGUAUUUUAGGAUUGUUUGUUACCCAGCAAUAGAUGAUGGGAACACAUGCCAUAUAAUUUAUUACUAUUAUGAUGUUUUCAUUUAUUGUCUGCCUGUCCUGUCAGACUGUCAGCAUCAGGAGAGCAGGUGUUUUGUAUGUUCUGAUUAAAUGAUUCCCCAGGCCUGGAACAGUGCCUGGUACAGAGGCACUCACUACAUAUUUGCGAGUGAAUGAGUAAAUGCUGGGCCCAUGUUCCUUAGAGCUGAGUCUGAGACUGAAAGGGAGAGUUUAUGGUGUUGGUUUGGAGGUUGUCUUCCUCUGCUCCGGCUGCUGUAACAAAAUGCCACAGACUGGGAGCUUAAGCAGCAGCAGUUUAUUUUCUCACAGUGCUGGAGGCUAGGAAUCCGAGAUCAAAGUGCCAGGAGAUUUGGUUUCUGAUGAGGGCUCCCUCCUGCCUUGUGGAUGGCUGUCUUCUUGCUGUGUCCUCACAUGGCCUUUCCUCUGUGUGCAGAGAGAGAUCUCUGGUGUCUGUUUCUCAUAACCACCAGUCCUGUCAGACAGGGCCCCACUCUUGUGACCUCAUUUAACCUUUAUUCUCUCCCUAAAGGCUUAUCUCUAAAUACAAUCGCAUUUGGGGUUAGGGUUAGGGGUUUAGACAUACAAAUUUUGGGGGACACAACUCAGUCCAUAACAGGUGUCUCCUGUGAUGUGUAUGUGUUUGGAAACUACCAAUUGGUCUUGGUUUCUGGAACCCCCUGACGAGCACAAUGCUCAGCACUGCCCCAAAUUCAUGUUCUCACCACACAAGCACAGCAGACAGGCAGCACCUGGCCACCAACUGCCCCUGAUGUCUCUUGGGCCAGGGAAAGGGGUCUGUCUAGGUUGCGGGGUCAUGGGCAACUGCUGCCCAGAUCGCAGCUGUGGCUCAGCUGCAGCAUGUGGGGGUCUGAGGAUCCCUCCCCUGACUUGACCCCAUGUCAGUUCAGGCUGCUAUAACAGAAUACCAUAAACUGGGUGGCUAAUAAAGAAUAGAAAUUUAUUUCUAUUCUACAGUUUUUUCUACAGAAAUUUAUUUCUAUUCUGCAGUUCUGGAGGCUGAGAAGACCAAGAUCAAGGUGCCAGCAAAUUGGGUGUCUGGCCUUAGCUCCAGAAGGAGGAAUGCUUCCACCAGGAGACACAACAGUGAUUCCACUGAACUGGAAGCUAAGACUUCCAUCUGGCCACUUUGGGCUCCUCAUGCCUCUGAAUCAACAGGCAAAGAAUAGAGUUAUGUGUUGUGUGAGGUGAUUGGUCCUGACUGCCAAGGAGAAAUUGGACUACUGUUGCACAAUGGAGGUAAGAAAGGGUAUGUCUGGAACACAAGAGAACCCUUAGGGCAUCUUUUAGUAUUACCACACCCUGUGAUUAAGGUCAAUGGUAAAGUACAACCCAACUCAAGCAGGACUGCUAAUGGCCUACACUCUUCAGGAAUGAAGGUUUGGGUCACCCUAUCAGGCAAAGGACUAUAACUAGCUGAGAUGCU
Equus asinus (donkey) is the source of this 3306-nucleotide long non-coding RNA. The record is from Ensembl. NCBI's taxonomy places the organism in Eukaryota, Metazoa, Chordata, Mammalia, Perissodactyla, Equidae.